CAAAACCGACACAGGUGGGCGAGAUGAGUAUUCUAAGGCGCUUGAGAGAACUCGGGAGAAGGAACUCGGCAAAUUGGUACCGUAACUUCGGGAUAAGGUACGCCCUUGUAGCUUGACUGGCCUGCGCCAGGAGGGUGAGAGGGUUGCAAUAAACUGGUGGCUGCGACUGUUUAAUAAAAACACAGCACUCUGCAAACACGAAAGUGGACGUAUAGGGUGUGACGCCUGCCCGGUGCCGGAAGAUUAAAUGAUGGGGUGCAAGCUCUUGAUUGAAGUCCCGGUAAACGGCGGCCGUAACCAUAACGGUCCUAAGGUAGCGAAAUUCCUUGUCGGGUAAGUUCCGACCUGCACGAAUUGCGUAACGAUGGCCACACUGUCUCCUCCCGAGACUCAGCGAAGUUGAAGUGUUUGUGAUGAUGCAAUCUCCCCGCGGCUAGACGGAAAGACCCCAUGAACCUUUACUGUAGCUUUGCAUUGGACUUUGAACCGAUCUGUGUAGGAUAGGUGGGAGGCUAUGAAACCGGAACGCUAGUUUCGGUGGAGCCGUCCUUGAAAUACCACCCUGGUUUGUUUGAGGUUCUAACCUUGGUCCGUUAUCCGGACUGGGGACAGUGCAUGGUAGGCAGUUUGACUGGGGCGGUCUCCUCCCAAAGUGUAACGGAGGAGUACGAAGGUACGCUAGGUACGGUCGGAAAUCGUGCUGAUAGUGCAAUGGCAUAAGCGUGCUUAACUGCGAGACCGACAAGUCGAGCAGGUGCGAAAGCAGGUCAUAGUGAUCCGGCGGUUCUGUAUGGAAGGGCCAUCGCUCAACGGAUAAAAGGUACUCUGGGGAUAACAGGCUGAUACCGCCCAAGAGUUCAUAUCGACGGCGGUGUUUGGCACCUCGAUGUCGGCUCAUCUCAUCCUGGGGCUGUAGCCGGUCCCAAGGGUAUGGCUGUUCGCCAUUUAAAGAGGUACGUGAGCUGGGUUUAAAACGUCGUGAGACAGUUUGGUCCCUAUCUGCCGUGGGCGUUGGAUAUUUGAAGGGGGCUGCUCCUAGUACGAGGGGACCGGAGUGGACGAACCUCUGGUGUACCGGUUGUCACGCCAGUGGCAUCGCCGGGUAGCUAUGUUCGGAAGAGAUAACCGCUGAAAGCAUCUAAGCGGGAAACUCGCCUUAAGAUGAGAUAUCCCCGGGGACUUGAUCCCCUUGAAGGGUCGUUCUAGACCAGGACGUUGAUAGGUCAGG
This 1228-nucleotide ribosomal RNA is filed under the name metagenome. Its description in RNAcentral is "bacterial LSU rRNA". It matches the Rfam family "Bacterial large subunit ribosomal RNA", at positions 1649 to 2865 of the family's 2925-position model. The record is from RNAcentral.